Molecule: unclassified non-coding RNA, 214 nt
Filed under: Hevea brasiliensis (rubber tree)
Lineage: Eukaryota; Viridiplantae; Streptophyta; Magnoliopsida; Malpighiales; Euphorbiaceae
Source: RNAcentral
ACAAAAUACAUGGCAGUAUGUUUUGCCAGAAUUUAAUUAGCAAUGAAUAUUUACUUUGCUAGAGAGGGUUAGAACAAGCUUAAGAGGUUAGGAUGGUAAACCAGUACGAUCUGAGGAAAUACUUGACAUGGCAAUUGAGAAUCAUUUACUGCUCCAACCAUUGUCUAACUGCCAUAUUGCAAACCUAUAGCAGUUAUGUAUUUCUUGUGUUCAA